RNAcentral lists this ribosomal RNA (447 nucleotides) under uncultured bacterium. RNAcentral describes it as "partial 16S ribosomal RNA". It matches the Rfam family "Bacterial small subunit ribosomal RNA", at positions 29 to 523 of the family's 1533-position model. The record is from RNAcentral.
AGCGAACGCUGGCGGCAGGCCUAACACAUGCAAGUCGAACGAUCCUUCGGGAUAGUGGCGGACGGGUGAGUAACACGUGGGAACGUACCUUUAGGUUCGGGAUAACUCAGGGAAACUUGAGCUAAUACCGGAUGUGCCCUUCGGGGGAAAGAUUUAUCGCCUUUAGAGCGGCCCGCGUUAGAUUAGCUAGUUGGUGAGGUAAAGGCUCACCAAGGCUCCGAUCUAUAGCUGGUCUGAGAGGAUGAUCAGCCACACUGGGACUGAGACGCGGCCCAGACUCCUACGGGAGGCAGCAGUGGGGAAUCUUGCGCAAUGGGCGAAAGCCUGACGCAGCCAUGCCGCGUGAAUGAUGAAGGUCUUAGGAUUGUAAAAUUCUUUUAGCAGGGACGAUAAUGACGGUACCUGCAGAAAAAGCCCCGGCUAACUUCGUGCCAGCCGCCGCAGUAA